CCCGGUGGCCGGAGAUCCAAGCGGCGUUCAUUGAGGGGCCGCUGUAGAGAAGCGGGGAGACAGUGGCGGUCUGCGCGCACAUAGACGGCGAAGUCUGGGGGAGCCUGCGAGAGGCUGCUCACACGCAAAGGGGAGCGGAUUACUAAGGGAAAUUAAAAAAGAAAACGCUUCGAAAGCUACCAGCAUGCGGGAGUUUAUCACUCUUUUUAUGUGACUUGGGGAGUUAUUACAGUACAGCGCGACUGAGAGCCUCCUCGGUACCGCAGAACUGUUCUUCAGCCUGGAUCAACUGGCAAGAAAAAGAAAUAGACUCACGGUUUAAAGCGAGACUUGGCGGGCGCCGGGCGGCACCCACAGUCACUGUUUAUUAAGAGGAGACCGGACGGGUUUUCUAUCGUUUUAUACCUUUUUGUUUCGUACCUUUAUAUAUAUAUAUUUGUUUUUCCCUUUUUUGCCGUCGUUGUAUUUUGGUCGGAAAGCUGAAAUAUGGUCGGGGAAAUGGAAGCGAAGGAGAAGCCGAAACCGACCCCAGAUUAUUUAAUGCAGCUCAUGAACGACAAGAAACUGAUGAGCAGCCUGCCCAACUUCUGCGGGAUCUUCAACCACCUGGAGAGGCUCCUGGACGAGGAGAUCGGCAGAGUGCGGAAGGACAUGUAUAACGACACACUGAAUGGCAGCACGGAACGGCGGGCGUCGGAACUGCCAGAGGCCGUGGGCCCCAUCGCACAGCUGCAGGAGAAGCUCUACGUUCCGGUAAAAGAGUACCCUGAUUUUAACUUUGUCGGGAGGAUCCUGGGGCCCCGGGGGCUGACGGCGAAGCAACUGGAGGCGGAGACAGGCUGCAAGAUCAUGGUGCGAGGAAAGGGCUCCAUGCGGGACAAGAAGAAGGAGGAGCAGAAUCGCGGGAAGCCGAACUGGGAGCACCUAAACGAGGAUCUGCACGUGCUGAUCACCGUGGAGGACUCGCAGAACAGGGCCGAAAUCAAGCUGAAGAGGGCCGUGGAGGAGGUGAAGAAACUGCUGGUGCCGGCGGCGGAGGGUGAGGACAGCCUGAAGAAGAUGCAGCUGAUGGAGCUGGCCAUCCUUAACGGAACCUACCGCGAUGCCAACAUCAAGUCCCCUACCCUCUCUUUCUCCUUAGCCACGGCGGCCCAGGCCCCGCGCAUCCUCACAGCUCCUGCCCAAGCGAUGCCCCCCGCUGCCCUGCGAGCAGCCUCUGCCGCAGUGCCCCCUGCAGGCCCUGCUCUUAUGCCCCUCAUCCGGCAGAUCCAGACCUCUGCCCUCAUGCCGGGUGCCACGCCCCACGCUGCCACCCUGCUGCCCCAGACCCCAGAGUCGGGCCUCAUCUACGCCCCGUACGACUACCCCUACGCCCUGGCGCCGGCUGCGUCCAUCAUGGAAUACCCCAUCGACGCAAGCGGAGUGCUAGGUGUGGCUUUCCCCACCAAAGGCUAAACGGCCCUCUCCGCCUGCCCCCUCCUCACCUGUUUUGUUUCACAGCUGAAAAGGGCGUUGGCCUGCCCCACAUUGUUCAGCCCCCCCCACUGCCAUUUACACGAACUGGGACGGAAUAACACUCGCUUAGAUUAAUACUGUGUUUGGGUAAUAAAAAAUUCACUUCAUGGCCAUACUAAUCAUUUCCCUGAGUGUAGCUGUCUCUGGGAUGCGAUUUGAGGUUGUGGACGGCGCAGACGUGCAGGAGGGUGUUUGGCUUUCCGACCCCACCCUGAUCACAUGACUAGGGAAGCCUCGUAUCAGCCAUUCCUGAACCAAGGACCCAGGUCAGCGGCGGGUGCCCGCUUUCAGGACCUCCGCCCCCACAAAGCAUCGCCUUACAUGUCCUAACUGAAGGAUACCUGCUGUGCCUUCGUUUUUUCUUACCAUGUUCUCUUUUAUUUUCUGUUUGUGUUUGCUGUUGCUGUUUAAUACGCAUCUCCUGUCUCCGUCGAACUCUGAAUGGGAAACCGAGCCGCUAACUGCCUGGUGUGUGUUACCAUCCAAGCAGGUGCGGUCACCACUAAGGUUCGAAGGCACGAGGUUCGAGUUCACCCUUACCAAAGGGUCAUGACCUCUGACAGAGCCGCCACAGGCAACUAACCUUUGACCUUCUGACCUCUGAACUCUACACCCAAUGAUGACCUGACCGCUUCCUGCCCCGCUGACCAGCUCUCUGACCACGUCUUCCCUCCACCGUCUCGCGGUUGCCGGGAAAGCCCAAGCCGCAGCUUCUCACCUUAACAACGUGCCCUAGUGACUUCGCUCUGCCCUCCCCCACCCCCCCGGACCCAGGCCCCGGACCCAGGCCCCGCCCCCAGAUCUAGGUCCCACCCCUUUCCCCUACCUACCUGCUCUGUUGCUGCCCAUUCCUGGUCAGGUGAUCAUGGUCCUGAACCUGCACUGAAUAGUGAAGCAAUAAGGUCCAAUUUAUCCCACCCUGGCUUGCCCCCCCCCUCCACCCCAACCCUGCCCCCACCCUCCCACCUCUCCAGCCUUGUGAAGAGAAGCAGAACGCCGAGAUCUGACAGCAGCCCCUGGGGGGGGGAGGGGCGAGUUGGUGCCAUCCUCUCUACAAUGGGUGUGGGGGUCCCUCCCAAAUCACAGGCACCCUGCUGGGGGACCUCGGGCCUCUCCCCCACAGCGUGCCCAUCAAGUCCCCAGGGUGUCGUGCCACCCAGCCUUCCUCUCCGGCACGUCACCGUCACACGCACACCCGCCCGCCCCCUCCCCACCGCAGGAACACGCAACCUGUGAUUUGCACGACUGUUCCUGGGUGUGGGGGGGGCAUCAUCCAGCACGGGUAGGUGCAGCCAACCGUCAACGCCCCCAGCCGGUCCUGAAGGGCCUCAGCCGCCGGUCACCGCCAGCGACCUGCUUCCGGAAGGCUCCGCGCGCGUGCGGCUCACGGCCGCUUAGCCCUGCGACUGCAAAGCCGGAAUUUGAAAAACUUACUCUGGGUUCUGAAUCUGAAUCGCACCCUUGGCAGGGGCUGUCCGUCAUAGACGGGUCUCUCCUGUCAUCCUGCGAUAGGGUGACACAGCGAAGGAACAGGGCCCCCCAGGACCGCAGGUAGCGGUACCAGCGGCCCAUGUCGCUGCCUGCGGGGCGUGAGGAAGGCGGCCGCGUGAAAAGCACCCUUUUCGAAGGAUGUAAAAGCCAUGCUCUGAUUUUAUGGGAGGAAGAACUGCUGACUGAUGUACAAUAUCUGGGAAUGAGCAAACAAACACUGAAAUAUUAAAUAUGUACUUUUGUGACACAGGGGUGCUGCAGAAGAGUAGGAGUAUAUUUUUCAGAAGUGUAGCCUUUUCUAUCUUACAGUAUUGUAUAGAAAAUAUGGAACAAAGAAGCCCUUUAUGUCACCACGGGGAGGGGGGGUCAUUUCCACCAUGGGGAGGGGGACUCUCCUUUUUGCAGAUGGAGAAGCAUCGACCAAAACCGCCUUUUGUUCUUUAGUUUUUUCAUUAAGCAUUUAUGAUGUCGAGGAAAAAAAAACAUGAAAGUGCCUUAUGUCCUGCUGGCCAAUGAACAGCCUGGAUUCUGCAGGCCCCACCCACCAGCGGUGGGGGCGGGCUCUCGGGCUGGCGGCAGGCCGGCCUGUGCCUCGCUCCAGUUGAGGAGAACAGACCGAGUCGCAGCUGGCCUUCCCUGUCAGGACUGCGAUUAGAUUGGCUUCCGAAGACUGUUCUUCACGAGGGUCAUUAAUCGUGGUCAUAAUAAUAAUGAAUAAUAAUAACAGCGGCUGAGGAGCUGUGGCGUGACUGUGGACCUUAACGUAUAGCUGUCCCGAUCAUGGCCAUCGCCUGCAGCUAGCAGAAAGCCUAAAUCUGCAGAGGGGCUUGUGGGAUUUGGAGUUCAGCAGUUGUAGUCUCUCGUUAUUCCCUCCCCUUACAGGUAUCCACCCCAGCAGCUGUACUGAAACGCGCCUGGAGAUUGAGCUUUUUUGCUCUUUCUCCACAUCAAUAUCUACCUUCAGGGUUUAUUUGACCGACCCUUUGUGUUUCCUGUUACCGGUCCUGCGAUAUUUAAAUUCCCACUGUGAGUCGCCGCAGUCCUGUAGUACCAGAUCGUCCGGUAGAGCUUCUGCCGUCAGGCUACUGUGUGAAUGUCGGGGCUUUGGGGGGGCUUGUGGGCGUGGCCAUGAUUAUGACAUCAGCAGCAGGCUCCUCCCUCUUCGCUUACUAUGCAACUAAUGGGGCUCCACUGGUGAUUGUUUUCUCUGGCAUGAAGUGUCUUCCUGGCUACAUUUACAUAUAUAGUGCCAUAUCUCAAUGCCGUGGGACAGGCUGAGGAGGAUGGGGACGUCCUCGGUCACCCCGGCAGAAUUACGUUCGAUGACAUCAUCUCACUCUCAUGCAAUACGCAGUGCACCUCAAUUUAUGAUGGUCGCAUGAUUUCAUUUCCAGUAUUACUUUUUGUUUCUCUUCCUUUCUGUGGACACCUGUUUGUUUUGUAGCCAAUUCUGAGUUUGCUCCAGUGUGCCCUUUGUAUUAUGCCAAACCACUGACAUUUCAUAUUUCAGUUCCUUUCUUCUAAUGCUUUUUGUUUCUUUUUCGAAGUGUACAAAUUUAUUGCCUCUAAGCACGGGAAAAUCACACGGACAUGUUUGCAGUUACGGCUGAAAUUCAGUGUACUUUUCUAUUCUAUUUUGUAUGUAUGUAAUAAAAAAGAUAUUGACUUAUUUCUAGAUAUGAACUGCAAAGGGGUAAAAAAAAAAAACACUAAAGAUCAAAAUUGUACAGGUUUCGAACAAGAUGUGCCUGGUAUUUCUCUGUAGACCUGUAUGCCUUACAGUGACUGAUGAUUUUCUCUAGGGGCUCGGAAGAGUCCCUGUGCCAUGGUAACACAAAGGGGAGCGCGAGGGCGCCCCUAGUGGAUGGUGUAAGCCGUCACCUCCAUCGCCACCAGUGUUAACUAGCAUAGUCUCUGUCCAGCUAAUGAUGCACGAUAUAUAUAUAACUGUCUUAUAGUGCCGAGUGUGUUUUUAAAAAGCAAUAUUAUGCCGUUUCAUUUACUGUUGGUUUUUGGUUGUUUUGAUGCGGCAUCAUUUGGACGCCGGGCCCAUGCCUGACUGAGCCGGUCGCUUCCGGAGAUUUCCGUCUCCGUGGGGACCGUCCCUCGCUUGCUGUCUCUCCGCUCUCUGGCAUCACAGAUUAACCUGUAGUAUUAUUUUAAUGAACGUCACACAUGCAAACUUACUAACAGCGGACAGGGGUCUGAAUCGUUAACCGCUCCAGCGUCCGUUUUAGAUGCCUGCUUUGGUUGUUUUAAAACAUGAAUUGUCUGUAAUUAAACAAAGGGGUGGGCUGAGAAACGUAACUUCUUAGAGUGCUAAACAGAAUCAUAACCCUUUGUACUGGAAAGCAAUAGUGGAGUAUUGAAAUCCUAGUGGAAAAAAAAAUAAAUAAAACUAACUUUGGUGCUA
Molecule: RNA transcript, 5419 nt
Organism: Brienomyrus brachyistius
Lineage: Eukaryota; Metazoa; Chordata; Actinopteri; Osteoglossiformes; Mormyridae
Gene: qki2
Gene name: QKI, KH domain containing, RNA binding 2
Exons: 8
Source: RefSeq, a predicted model, not a curated record